AUUUAAAUAGCUUAAAUUUAGAGCGUGACAUUGAAGAUGUUAAAGUGAUUAUUUUAAUCUUUAAAUA
This 67-nucleotide transfer RNA is filed under the name Bironella hollandi. RNAcentral's name for it is "tRNA-Phe". It matches the Rfam family "tRNA". From Rfam's summary of the family: Transfer RNA (tRNA) molecules are approximately 80 nucleotides in length. Their secondary structure includes four short double-helical elements and three loops (D, anti-codon, and T loops). Lineage: Eukaryota; Metazoa; Arthropoda; Insecta; Diptera; Culicidae. The record is from RNAcentral. RNAcentral also lists the same sequence under 1 other name.